UACGAAGGGGGCUAGCGUUGUUCGGAAUUACUGGGCGUAAAGCGCACGUAGGCGGGUUGUUAAGUCAGGGGUGAAAUCCUGGAGCUCAACUCCAGAACUGCCUUUGAUACUGGCAACCUAGAGACUGGAAGAGGUUAGUGGAAUUCCCGGUGUAGAGGUGAAAUUCGUAGAUAUUGGGAAGAACACCAGUGGCGAAGGCGGCUAACUGGUCCAGCACUGACGCUGAGGUGCGAAAGCGUGGGGAGCAAACAGG
This 253-nucleotide ribosomal RNA is filed under the name uncultured bacterium. Its description in RNAcentral is "partial 16S ribosomal RNA". It matches the Rfam family "Bacterial small subunit ribosomal RNA", at positions 524 to 776 of the family's 1533-position model. The record is from RNAcentral.